RNAcentral lists this long non-coding RNA (2623 nucleotides) under Equus asinus (donkey). RNAcentral's name for it is "lncRNA (ENSEASG00005024589.1)". Lineage: Eukaryota; Metazoa; Chordata; Mammalia; Perissodactyla; Equidae. The record is from RNAcentral.
CGAAGAUGGGCAAGAGAGGCUGGCUUCAGGUGGCAAACUUUAAGCAAAAGAAACACACAAGGGCGUGGAGACCUGGGGAAAAAGCAGCACUGAGAAAUCUACCCUCUGAAACUGACGAGGAUGGGCAACAGAGGCUACCUCAGGUGGCAAUCGUUAAGCAAAAGAAACACACAAGGGCGUGGAGACCUGGGGAAAAAGCAACACGGAGAAAUCCACCCUCUGAAACUGAGGAAGAUGGGCAAGAGAGGCUAGCUCAGGUGGCAAUCGUUAAGCAAAAACAAAACCCAAAGGCGUGGAGACCUGGGGAAAAAGCAACCCUGAAAUAUCUACCCUCUGAAACUGAGGAAGAUGGGCAAGAGAGGCUGGCUUCAGGUGGCAAACUUUAAGCAAAAGAAACACACAAGGGCGUGGAGACCUGGGGAAAAAGCAACACGGAGAAAUCCACCCUCUGAAACUGAGGAAGAUGGGCAAGAGAGGCUAGCUCAGGUGGCAAUCGUUAAGCAAAAGAAACACACAAGGGCGUGGAGACCUGGGGAAAAAGCCACACGGAGAAAUCCACCCUCUGAAACUGAAGAAGAUGGGCAACAGAGGCUAGCUCAGGUGGCAAUCUUUAAGCAAAAAAAAUAAAAUAAAAAAAUACAAUGGCGAGGAGACCCGGUCAAAAAGCAACCCUGAAAAAGGUACCCUCUGAAACUGAGGAAGCAGGGCAACAAUGCCUAGCUCAGGUGACAAUCUUUAAGCAAAAGAAACACACAAGGGCGUGGAGACCUGGGGAAAAAGCAACACGGAGAAAUCCACCCUCUGAAACUGAGGAAGAUGGGCAACAGAGGCUACCUCAGGUGGCAAUCGUUAAGCAAAAACAAAACCCAAAGGCGUGGAGACCUGGGGAAAAAGCAACCCUGAAAUAUCUACCCUCUGAAACUGAGGAAGAUGGGCAAGAGAGGCUGGCUUCAGGUGGCAAACUUUAAGCAAAAGAAACACACAAGGGCGUGGAGACCUGGGGAAAAAGCAGCACUGAGAAUCUACCCUCUGAAACUGACGAGGAUGGGCAACAGAGGCUACCUCAGGUGGCAAUCGUUAAGCAAAAGAAACACACAAGGGCGUGGAGACCUGGGGAAAAAGCAACACGGAGAAAUCCACCCUCUGAAACUGAGGAAGAUGGGCAACAGAGGCUAGCUCAGGUGGCAAUUCUUAAGCAAAAAAAAUAAAUAAAAAAAUACAAUGGCGAGGAGACCCGGUCAAAAAGCAACCCUGAAAAAGGUACCCUCUGAAACUGAGGAAGCAGGGCAACAGUGCCUAGCUCAGGUGGCAAUCUUUAAGCAAAAGAAACACACAAGGGCGUGGAGACCUGGGGAAAAAGCAACACGGAGAAAUCCACCCUCUGAAACUGAGGAAGAUGGGCAAGAGAGGCUGGCUUCAGGUGGCAAACUUUAAGCAAAAGAAACACACAAGGGCGUGGAGACCUGGGGAAAAAGCAGCACUGAGAAAUCUACCCUCUGAAACUGACGAGGAUGGGCAACAGAGGCUACCUCAGGUGGCAAUCGUUAAGCAAAAGAAACACACAAGGGCGUGGAGACCUGGGGAAAAAGCAACACGGAGAAAUCCACCCUCUGAAACUGAGGAAGAAGAUGGGCAACAGAGGCUAGCUCAGGUGGCAAUCGUUAAGCAAAAACAAAACACAAAGGCGUGGAGACCUGGGGAAAAAGCAACCCUGAAAUAUCUACCCUCUGAAACUGAGGAAGAUGGGCAAGAGAGGCUGGCUUCAGGUGGCAAUCUUUAAGCAAAAGAAACACACAAGGGCGUGGAGACCUGGGGAAAAAGCAACACGGAGAAAUCCACCCUCUGAAACUGAGGAAGAUGGGCAAGAGAGGCUACCUCAGGUGGCAAUCCUUAAGCAAAAACAAAGCACAAAGGCGUGGAGCCCUGGGGACAAAGCAACCCUGAAAUAUCUACCCUCUGAAACUGAGGAACAUGGGCAAGAGAGGCUAGCUCAGGUGGCAAUCGUUAAGCAAAAGAAACACACAAGGGCGUGGAGACCUGGGGAAAAAGCAACACGGAGAAAUCCACCCUCUGAAACUGAGGAACAUGGGCAAAAGAAGCUAGCUCAGGUUGCAACCUUUAAGCAGAAAAAAAAAAAAGACGCAAGGGCGUGGAGAGCUGGCGAAAAAGCAACACUGAGAAAUCUACCCUCUGAAACCGAAGAAGAUGGGCAACAGAGGCUAGCUCAGGUGGCAAUCGUUAAGCAAAAACAAAACCCAAAGGCGUGGAGACCUGGGGAAAAAGCAACCCUGAAAUAUCUACCCUCUGAAACUGAGGAAGAUGGGCAAGAGAGGCUGGCUUCAGGUGGCAAACUUUAAGCAAAAGAAACACACAAGGGCGUGGAGACCUGGGGAAAAAGCAGCACUGAGAAAUCUACCCUCUGAAACCGAAGAAGAUGGGCAACAGAGGCUAGCUCAGGUGGCAAUCUUUAAGCAAAAAAAAUAAAAUAAAAAAAUACAAUGGCGAGGAGACCCGGUCAAAAAGCAACCCUGAAAAAGGUACCCUCUGAAACUGAGGAAGCAGGGCAACAGUGCCUAGCUCAGGUGACAAUCUUUAAGCAAAAAAAAAAAAAAAAAAAAAAAAA